GUAGGUGGCAAGCGUUGUCCGGAAUUAUUGGGCGUAAAGCGCGCGCAGGCGGUUCUUUAAGUCUGAUGUGAAAGCCCACGGCUCAACCGUGGAGGGUCAUUGGAAACUGGAGAACUUGAGUACAGAAGAGGAAAGCGGAAUUCCACGUGUAGCGGUGAAAUGCGUAGAGAUGUGGAGGAACACCAGUGGCGAAGGCGGCUUUCUGGUCUGUAACUGACGCUGAGGCGCGAAAGCGUGGGGAGCAAACAGGGAUUAGAUACCCUGGUAGUCCACGCCGUAAACGAUGAGUGCUAAGUGUUAGGGGGGGUUUCCGCCCCCCUUAGUGCUGCAGCUAACGCAUUAAGCACUCCGCCUGGGGAGUACGGCCGCAAGGCUG
RNAcentral lists this ribosomal RNA (376 nucleotides) under uncultured organism. RNAcentral describes it as "partial 16S ribosomal RNA". It matches the Rfam family "Bacterial small subunit ribosomal RNA", at positions 527 to 896 of the family's 1533-position model. The record is from RNAcentral.